UCGUGGCGCCGCCUGGGGGUCCCUGCGCCCCGGAAAGAGACAGCAGGCACUGGAAAGCGAGGCCGGUGGGCGGGCGAGUCGGGAGGCUCGGGCGGCCGAGGUCCGGGAGCGGAUCCCAGGUGGCGGGAGCUGUUGCCACGCUGGCUCCCACCGGCCUCUUUCCAGAUCAUGAAGGUAUUUUUCCUUCAUCAAAUUGAGAGGAAGUCCGUAGUAAAGCUGCCCGUUGACCAGGUAGUGCCGAGAGAAUCGGUGCCCUGGCAGGAGGGACUGGCUUAUGCCACCCUGUGCAGGAUCGUCUUCUCAGCUUACAGAGCCUAGUGUGAUUCAACAACCCUCCAUCUCUGCCCCCAACAUGCCCAACUGAUCUGGUGGAGGGAACUGAAGAUGAAGGCCUCUCAGGCACCAUGGAUGGGAUGGGUGUGUGUGAAGGGGGCAGGGUCCCCAGGAGCUGCCCCAGGUCUGGCUGGACAGUUGCACGGGAAGUCCUGUUUGUGAACUCAACGUUUCCACGGCUUUUCCAUUAAACUUUACCCCAAAUC
This is a long non-coding RNA of Homo sapiens (human), 539 nucleotides long. Ensembl annotates it as TBX2 antisense RNA 1. Its record names the gene TBX2-AS1. Lineage: Eukaryota; Metazoa; Chordata; Mammalia; Primates; Hominidae. The record is from Ensembl.